Molecule: ribosomal RNA, 253 nt
Filed under: uncultured bacterium
Lineage: Bacteria
Description: partial 16S ribosomal RNA
Rfam family: Bacterial small subunit ribosomal RNA
Source: RNAcentral
UACGGAGGGUGCAAGCGUUAAUCGGAAUUACUGGGCGUAAAGCGCACGUAGGCGGCUUUGCAAGUUAGAGGUGAAAGCCCGGGGCUCAACUCCGGAAUUGCCUUUAAAACUGCAUCGCUAGAAUUGUGGAGAGGUAAGUGGAAUUCCGAGUGUAGAGGUGAAAUUCGUAGAUAUUCGGAAGAACACCAGUGGCGAAGGCGACUUACUGGACACAUAUUGACGCUGAGGUGCGAAAGCGUGGGGAGCAAACAGG